AUUGAACGCUGGCGGCAGGCUUAACACAUGCAAGUCGAGCGGGGUGAUGGUGCUUGCACUAUCACUUAGCGGCGGACGGGUGAGUAAUGCUUAGGAAUCUGCCUAUUAGUGGGGGACAACAUCUCGAAAGGGAUGCUAAUACCGCAUGCGUCCUACGGGAGAAAGCAGGGGAUCACUUGUGACCUUGCGCUAAUAGAUGAGCCUAAGUCGGAUUAGCUAGUUGGUGGGGUAAAGGCCUACCAAGGCGACGAUCUGUAGCGGGUCUGAGAGGAUGAUCCGCCACACUGGGACUGAGACACGGCCCAGACUCCUACGGGAGGCAGCAGUGGGGAAUAUUGGACAAUGGGGGGUACCCUGAUCCAGCCAUGCCGCGUGUGUGAAGAAGGCCUUAUGGUUGUAAAGCACUUUAAGCGAGGAGGAGGCUCUUUUGGUUAAUACCCAAGAUGAGUGGACGUUACUCGCAGAAUAAGCACCGGCUAACUCUGUGCCAGCAGCCGCCGUAA
This 503-nucleotide ribosomal RNA is filed under the name uncultured bacterium. RNAcentral describes it as "partial 16S ribosomal RNA". It matches the Rfam family "Bacterial small subunit ribosomal RNA", at positions 30 to 523 of the family's 1533-position model. The record is from RNAcentral.